UACGUAGGGGGCGAGCGUUGUCCGGAAUUAUUGGGCGUAAAGAGCUCGUAGGCGGUCGUUUAAGUCGGGUGUGAAAUCUCAGGGCUCAACUCUGAAACUGCACCCGAUACUGGAUGACUUGAGGCAGGUAGGGGAGAUCGGAAUUCCUGGUGUAGCGGUGAAAUGCGCAGAUAUCAGGAGGAACACCGGUGGCGAAGGCGGAUCUCUGGGCCUGUUCUGACGCUGAGGAGCGAAAGCGUGGGGAGCAAACAGGAUUAGAAACCCCAGUAGUCC
RNAcentral lists this ribosomal RNA (273 nucleotides) under uncultured bacterium. RNAcentral describes it as "partial 16S ribosomal RNA". It matches the Rfam family "Bacterial small subunit ribosomal RNA", at positions 524 to 796 of the family's 1533-position model. The record is from RNAcentral.